Molecule: long non-coding RNA, 326 nt
Organism: Solenopsis invicta (red fire ant)
Lineage: Eukaryota; Metazoa; Arthropoda; Insecta; Hymenoptera; Formicidae
Exons: 2
Source: RefSeq, a predicted model, not a curated record
AGCACGCUUCCACUGCGUCAAAAGUCGUCGAGUGAAGGAAGACUAGGAAAAAGCCGGAAAAUUGAGAAAUUAUUGCGAGACGAAUUUGCACAGCGGGAACACCACAGGAGAACAAUAGGAGAGAACCGAAGACGCUCACAUCAGAAAUCUGAUUAGUUAAAUUGUUAGACAAUCGAUCUGAUUGGCCGAAAUGUCAGUUUUAAAAGAAAUCAUAGACAGAUGCAGUCAAGCAUUGUCCAUUGAUGAGGAGGACAUUCAGGCCACAAUAAAAUUAGACGAGCACCUUUUCACAGUGCAGUUUGCGGCCGGAGAGAGUGUAGUACUCA